GAAGCUUCGACUAAGGUUCGAUUCGAGCGCAGCGAGAAAGCGUUGCCGCAGGCAACGACCCGAAGGGCGAAGCGCGCAGCGCUGAGUCAUCCUUCCCCCACCAUCA
RNAcentral lists this small RNA (106 nucleotides) under Salmonella enterica subsp. enterica serovar Stanleyville. RNAcentral's name for it is "partial RtT sRNA". It matches the Rfam family "RtT RNA", at positions 26 to 130 of the family's 130-position model. Rfam says of the family: This family represents a bacterial cis-regulatory element known as RtT RNA. Lineage: Bacteria; Pseudomonadati; Pseudomonadota; Gammaproteobacteria; Enterobacterales; Enterobacteriaceae. The record is from RNAcentral.